RNAcentral lists this ribosomal RNA (603 nucleotides) under uncultured beta proteobacterium. RNAcentral's name for it is "bacterial SSU rRNA". It matches the Rfam family "Bacterial small subunit ribosomal RNA", at positions 115 to 717 of the family's 1533-position model. Lineage: Bacteria; Pseudomonadati; Pseudomonadota; Betaproteobacteria. The record is from RNAcentral.
ACAUCGGAACGUGCCCGAGACUGGGGGAUAACGAAGCGAAAGCUUUGCUAAUACCGCAUACGAUCUCAGGAUGAAAGCAGGGGACCGCAAGGCCUUGCGCUCACGGAGCGGCCGAUGGCAGAUUAGGUAGUUGGUGGGAUAAAAGCUUACCAAGCCGACGAUCUGUAGCUGGUCUGAGAGGACGACCAGCCACACUGGGACUGAGACACGGCCCAGACUCCUACGGGAGGCAGCAGUGGGGAAUUUUGGACAAUGGGCGCAAGCCUGAUCCAGCCAUGCCGCGUGCAGGAUGAAGGCCUUCGGGUUGUAAACUGCUUUUGUACGGAACGAAAAGACUCUGGUUAAUACCUGGGGUCCAUGACGGUACCGUAAGAAUAAGCACCGGCUAACUACGUGCCAGCAGCCGCGGUAAUACGUAGGGUGCGAGCGUUAAUCGGAAUUACUGGGCGUAAAGCGUGCGCAGGCGGUUAUGUAAGACAGAUGUGAAUCCCCGGGCUCAACCUGGGACUGCAUUUGUGACUGCAUAGCUAGAGUACGGCAGAGGGGGAUGGAAUUCCGCGUGUAGCAGUGAAAUGCGUAGAUAUGCGGAGGACACCGAUGGCG